ACUGUCUCCCCCCUCUAAUCAGUGAAAUUGAUCUCCCCGUGAAGAAGCGGGGAUAUAAAUAUAAGACGAGAAGACCCCAUGGAGCUUUAAACCCAACAACACCUAUCUAUUUUAUUCCCCCAUAUUUAUACGGUUAUGUUUGUUUGGUUUUAGGUUGGGGUGACCGCGGAGUAUAAAACAACCUCCACGAAGAAAAGACUAAUAAUCUUUAUCAGAGAAAGACAUUUCUAAGAAAUAAUAUAUUAACUUUAAAUGAUCCGAUAUUCGAUUAACGAAUCAAGUUACCCUGGGGAUAACAGCGCAAUCCACCUUAAGAGCCCUUAUCGACAGGUGGGUUUACGACCUCGAUGUUGGAUCAGGGUAUCACAGUGGUGCAGCAGCUACUAAUGGUUCGUUUGUUCAACGAUUAAAACCCU
Molecule: ribosomal RNA, 416 nt
Filed under: Boophis luciae
Lineage: Eukaryota; Metazoa; Chordata; Amphibia; Anura; Mantellidae
Description: partial 16S ribosomal RNA
Rfam family: Bacterial large subunit ribosomal RNA
Source: RNAcentral